CGGCUGCCCCGCGGGGAGCGCGGAGGCACACCGUCUCCUACUCCCACCCAGCUCCUAGAAUGUAGGAGAGUGUAGAGUUCAAAAAGCCCGGAAGUAAAACAACCCCAGGUUAAGAAAGUAAGGGUAAGCUCUAGCAGUCGGCAAAAGCGCUCGGCAAAAAAACCCCGACUUCUCCAGAAAAACUUUGCGGCAAGUUAAGCGGAAGCGCUGAAUGGCCGGGACUAUUUAACUCGCGCUUCCUCUCACAAGAGGCGGAUCCCUGGACCUGUUUGGGGGACCCUGACGGUCCACAAACUCGCCGUUUGCCUGCUGGGUGGCCCUCUAGAAGUUCUGACAUCCUAAAAGGUCUGGGCAGUCCCGCUGACGGGGAAUACCUGUCGUAGUACCCAUUGCCUGCGAGUCCCUGAUGGCGGCCAUUACACUUCCAUCCGGGUAUUGCCGAAAAGCUGAUCGCAGCGCUACCGGGAGCGCACGCUGCGGCGGAGGGAUCUGCGCUUUACCUGAGACAAGCGGAAGAGAACGGAGGCCGGCAGGGUCCGCGCUCGGUCUGACGAGACUAGGCCAUGGAGCUGGGUUCGCCGCUGACCUCUCCAUCUAGCGCGCGGCCCCGGCGCCCACCAGUCCAGUGACCCACUACUACCUCUUUGCUCACCAGCAGCUGCUGAUCUUACUGCCGGUGAAAUGGCAGACAAACGUCUACUCUGUGCUCUUCAGAGUAGACACCAGGAGCAGGAACUGUAUGCACUUCCCAAGCCCUUGCUGACUGGGAAUGGUCUCCACCCUGAGAUUUUAACCAGUUCCGGUUUAGCAAAUGGCGCCUCCCCACCUCUGGCUUCUGGCACGCAGGUUUUAGCAACCAUUGUAGCCCACGUCAACGAAAGAAGCUGCCGCCAGUAGUUCUAGAAGACAUACUGAACUCCAAACCUGUAUAUAUUGAAUAAUUGAUCAAAAACUAUCUUCACAAUGAGGGAGGCUCACAUCUCCCUCAAACGAAUACUUCCUCUACCUGACAACAGGGCUGGACAGUUAAUAUGGUUGGCUUUACCCCAAAGGCCAGUGUGGCUCCUCUUCUGUUCUUUAUAAAUCCAACCUACUAAUUGAUACCUCACUUUCUACAUAAUUCUACAUAAAUUAUCUUCCUUUUAAAAUGUGGGGAGGGAAUAAGUGGCGGCAAACGUUUAAGCAACAACAAAAAACCUUGGCGCAGAAGGAUAUACCAAUAAAUUGAAAGUGAAACUAUGAUCAGAUUUUUCAUUUUUUAAUGUUCCGUGUUUUCUUAAGUAGCAUGUAUGACAUUUAUAAUUUUUAAAAAUUUUUUAAAAUAUGUGUAUGAUACAUAUUUUUCAUUGUCUUAGGGCAGGCUUUUGAAAAUGUCAGCCUGUAGCCAAAUGCAAGAUUUUCUCCAUCCUUUAAUAAAAAGCACACUGAGAAAUCCUCA
Molecule: long non-coding RNA, 1438 nt
Filed under: Homo sapiens (human)
Lineage: Eukaryota; Metazoa; Chordata; Mammalia; Primates; Hominidae
Description: non-protein coding lnc-BLNK-4:1
Source: RNAcentral